Molecule: ribosomal RNA, 253 nt
Filed under: uncultured bacterium
Lineage: Bacteria
Description: partial 16S ribosomal RNA
Rfam family: Bacterial small subunit ribosomal RNA
Source: RNAcentral
UACAGAGGGUGCAAGCGUUACUCGGAUUUACUGGGCGUAAAGCGUGCGUAGGCGGUUCAUUAAGUCGGUUGUGAAAUCCCUGGGCUUAACCUGGGAACUGCAGUCGAUACUGAUGGACUAGAGUACGGUAGAGGGUGGCGGAACUCCGGGUGUAGCGGUGAAAUGCGUAGAUAUCCGGAAGAACACCGAUGGCGAAGGCAACCACCUGGGCCUGUACUGACGCUGAGGUACGAAAGCGUGGGGAGCAAACAGG